GUUUCUAACAAGCUUAAAAGCUUCCCCCUUAUCUCAUUAAAGCGCUCAGAUAACUGAGAAUCUUCUAUAAGUUUUGCUAUCUGAUCAAAUAAUUUAGCAGAAAUAAUCUUUGAUUGGCCUUCACUGAGGAAGCCAGAGAGUCUUUCUGACAAACGCAUAAAAGUUUCAGUCAACUUUGAUACCAGCUUUGAUUCAUCCCACACAGUUACCAUACCUGUUGGAUCCUCCUUGACAGUAAAAUCCUUAGAAUCUAAUAAGGCACUGGAAACAUUAAUUGGC
Molecule: unclassified non-coding RNA, 279 nt
Filed under: Hevea brasiliensis (rubber tree)
Lineage: Eukaryota; Viridiplantae; Streptophyta; Magnoliopsida; Malpighiales; Euphorbiaceae
Source: RNAcentral